This 11016-nucleotide long non-coding RNA is filed under the name Ananas comosus (pineapple). Its description in RNAcentral is "long non-coding RNA (ACOM_LNC001548)". The record is from RNAcentral. Lineage: Eukaryota; Viridiplantae; Streptophyta; Magnoliopsida; Poales; Bromeliaceae.
AUAUUUUCUUUUUUUUUCUUUUUUUUUUUGAGAGAGAUAGGUAGCACGCUACCCGCUUCGUUUAUUUUAUUUAUAAAUAAACUUAGCUGGAAAUGUGAAUCAACUAGGAUUCGAAAUUGGGUCUCGGGUACCAACCACCAAGUCCUUUAUCACUUGCCCUAGGGACGGUCGGUAAUAUUUUCUUUUUGUGCACUCAAAAUUUGAUCAUUUUUGCAGGGCUACGGCAUGUUAGCUAUCUCAUCCACACUCCCAUUUCUCCGCCCUCCGAAAUGCAUGGACUCCGCAAAUUCUUCGACAUGCCAACCUUCGCCUUUUCAAGUGGCCUUCUUCUACGUAUCUCUCUAUCUCGUAGCCUUUGCUCAAGGCGGCAACAAGUCUUGCGGACUAGCAUUCGGAGCCGACCAAUUCGACCAGAAUGAGCCAAAGGAGUGCGCCUCGCGAGGCUCCUUCUUUAACUGGUGGUACUUUGUCACGUCCACGGGCAUGACCUUUGCGUAUAUCAUACUAAGUUACGUUCAGGAUAACGUUGGUUGGGGCCUUGGCUUUGGAAUCCCCGCUAUUAUUAUGUCCUUCGCUCUUGUUGUCUUCUUGCUCGGGACGAAGACGUAUAGAAUUUAUGUAGUGGAACAAGAGAGCCCCUUUGCCCGAAUAGGCAAGGCGUUCGUGUCGUUGGCGAGGAGUUGGAAAGCAAGCCUUCUUCGACCGAGAGAAGACAAAGAAAGACAACAAGACGAGUAUGUUCAUUCUACACUUCUUACCUUGAGAUGACUUAAAAUGCACCAUUAGUUGCCAAACAUGUAGCAAAAUUUUACCUAGAUCAUCAAAUUUGGAGUUGAGCUCGAAUACUCCUAGAAGCAUAUGUGAUUCACUUGUUUCUAAUUUUUUGGCUCUUAGAUUCAUGCUACUAUGACAGCUAAUAGUAAACCCAAGACAUUCAAGGAAUAUAAAGUUUGUAAGCAAGUGAAUAGUAAAUAUUGCUUCUAAAAGCAUUCCAGCACAAUUCUCAAAUUUGAUUCCUCGUGAUCGCUGUGUGCCACAAUUAGGUCGAGCUAUCAAGUGACGGCGUUAAAUUUCCUUAUGAAGAGAUGAUGCAAAAGCUGAAUCACCUACAACAUUAUCUCUCUAUAAGAAAAAUCUGAUGGCACUUGACGACUCUGAGUGGACUGUAUAGCGACCUAUGAGAAAUUUUACGGUGAGUUUAAUAAGGAUUGUUGAAACUUACCAUUUAUUUUCAACAAACUUUGCUAACCGAUAUAAUUAUGAAGAUAUUCGACAACAGGAGAUGAAUGUGAACAAAGUCACAUGGAAGAAGCCAAGCGAGUGCUCCGAUUGUUCCCGAUAUGGGCGACAAGCUUAGUAUACGCCGUCACUUUUGCUCAAUUGGCCACCUUCUUCACUAAGCAAGGAAGGACUUUAGAUAGAAGCAUCACUUCAAGCAUACAAGUUCCACCCGCGGCUCUACAAAGCUUCAGAAGUCUCACUAUCAUGGCCUUCGUCCCCGUAUACGAUCGAUUCCUCGUGCCCUUAGCUCGGAAAUUCUCGAAGCUGCAUUCGGGCAUCACCACGCUUAAAAGAGCCGGCAUCGGAAUGGCCAUAUCCUUUAUCUCAAUGGUAGUAGCAGCUCUUGUGGAAAUGAAGAGGCUUCAGAUGGCUCGAGAUUUCGGCUUGAUCGAUGAGCCAAAUGACACUAUUCCGAUGAGCUUUUGGUGGUUGGUUCCUCAAUACAUGCUCAUUGGGCUCGCCGAUGUGUUUAUAGUAGUAGGAUUGCAAGAGUUCUUCUACGAUCAGGUCCCCGACGGUUUAAGAAGCCUCGGCAUUGCUCUCUACAUGAGCAUACUAGGGAUCGGUAGUUUUAUCAGUAGUGUUCUCAUUUUCGUGAUCGAUGAAAUGACAAGCAAGAAUGGUGAUAGUUGGUUCUCGAAUAACUUAAACCGAGCGCAUCUCGAUUNUGGUGAUAGUUGGUUCUCGAAUAACUUAAACCGAGCGCAUCUCGAUUACUUCUAUUUGCUUCUCGCGGGUCUCGGUGUUUUAGAAUUAUGCUUAUUCUUGUACUUUACGCGCAAUUAUGACUAUAAGAAGAAGAUUGUUUUCUGAUAGCAUGAGUACUUAGGAGAAAUAUAAUCUUAAGUACAUAUUUCCACAACAUUGUAAAAGUUCUUCGAUGAUUAUCGGAUGCUUUAAAUUCUUGUAUAAUUUCAAAUUCAAAGUAAGGUAUUCAAUUCAUUUUAUCUCCUCUUGUUCAUAUUUUUAUUUUUAUGUUUUAAAUCCUUGAUGCAUGUAUCAUAAGUAGUCUUUUUUUGUAAUAAAUUCACACAUUCACAAAUAGUGCUAGAGAAGAGAAAAUUAAUUAUGCUAAUAUCAUGUUAAAUUAUAUAAACUAAUUGUUGCUCCCAAAAAAUUUAAGGCGUAGAUGGAUUAUACUAGAGGAAACAUGUGAAGAGACCAAAAGAGAGAAUCUCUGUUUUUCUUCUUUUUUUUCUUCUUGGGUAAACUUCAAAUACCGCCUCUUUGGUUUCACACUUUUUCACUUUAGUACCCUGUAGUUUAAAGUGUAUAAAGUUAGUGUUCUAUAGCUUCAUUUUUAUCUUUUCGUCAGCUUCUCCGUUAACAUUUCGUUAAAUUAUAUACAAAAAACUUCAGAUACUUUACCUAGGUUUAUCGAAUAUUCACUCUGGUAUCAUUUCUUUUAACUUUGUCACUAAUUUAACGAAAAAAAUUAGUAUAAUCGAUAAUAAAAUGAUAAAAAUAAAACCACAUGAUACUAAAUUGAUACAUUUUAAACCAAAAGGUCUUAAAGUGAAAAAGUGUGAAACCACAGAGGUGGUAUUUGAAGUUUUUCCUUUCUUUUUUUUGUCUCUAUUAAAGUAGCAUGGUGCUUCAAAAGGCAUAACAAUAGAUUCCUUAUUUGCUCUGUUUCUGUUUUUAGCUACAGUUAUCAGUAAUAGAGUGUUUGACAUCAGAAGAUUCGAAGCUUCUGCUGUAAUGGGUGAAGUCGGAAAACGAAAACAACAAUUUGGAGCUUCUGAUUCUGCAGCAAACAAAGACUAUCGAAGCAAUCGAGGGAUUUUGAUCCUGCAGGUUCGAAUUGCAGUAAUUGGAAGAUGCAAAAGCUGUGAAAGCUCUUUGGAACUUUUCUGCUCCAAUGCAUUUCCUCAAACAGCAUUUCACACUACAGGACACUUUUGGGCGAAAAAAGAAGAACAAAAAAGAAGGAAUAAAUGGAUGGUAAUUAAGUGAAAUAGCUACAAAUUGCUUAAAAUAAGUAUAUUUUGGCCUACAUUGGUUAUAUAGUAAUUAAAAACACUACUUUUAUGUUAUAAAAAUUUAUUUUUUUUUGAAAAAAAAUAGCGUGUUAUCGCUUUAUUCAUUUAGAAAAUGAAUUUAACUACAAGAUGAGACAGUCUAAAUCUCGUAGGAAAUACAAAAAAAUCAAUCUAUAGUAUUACGAAAAAAAAAGUGAAUCCAUAAGUCUUUGAGAGAUCUUAUCUCUGCCAGUAAGCAUUCACGAGCAUUCUUUUGUUUCUUUCCGGCUAAAGAACCCACCAAGCAGCAGCAAUAGUCACUAACUCUCUCCCUCUUAUACUCCUCCUCUGCUACAGCUCAUCUCCUAGAUCCCUUUAGGAGAUGAAUAAUUCUGUAAAAAAGUGUUUGUUUGAUAAAAAUCUUUUCAAUAAUGCUGUAAAAAUUCAAACAAAAAUUAAAAAUGCUUAUUAUAUAUGAAUGCAAUCGUCACCGAAAAAGCAUGCAUGUACAAACACCAAAUAUGAAAAACGUGUGUGCCUAGUUUCUAAUUACUCUCGUCGACUUAGUCUUGUUCCAUGGCCAUUUAUUUUAUUUUAUUUUUACUAUUGUCCGUAAGCUCCGUACAAUAAUCUUUUGUUUAUAGGCUCCGUACAAAUCACUAUGUUCACGUAAUCAUAAGUACCUCUAAAAUUAGAGAUAUAAGUUUAUACGCUUCGAUAGUAAAAUUAAAAUUUUAAAAAUUUAAAUAGUCAAAAAAUAAUAUUUUUAAUAUUUAAAUUAAUUUUUUAUUCUGAUACCGUAUUAAAUAGACGACGAUCCUAUGUUUAGCACUUAUAAAGAGAGAGGCAAAAAAGGAAGAAGAGGAAGAAGAAGAAGAGUGAGAGUUGGGAGGAAUGGAUCCGGAUCCCCUCCUCGCCGGAUCGGAGGCGUUGAUCGGCGUCGUCGACUACCGCUGCCGCCCUGUCCGCCGCUCCUCCUCUGGCCGCUGGACCGCCGCGCUCUUCGUCAUGGGUAUGACCACCCUCCCCUCUUUCCCUCUCACUAAAAUUCUUUGUCCGUCCUGCGUAAUUGUAAUUCGACGAUCUCUGUAUCGUCGGAUUCUGAUCAUGCACACCAGGGCUCGAGUUCGCGGUGCGGUUCGCGUACUACGGCGUGUCAUCGAACCUGAUCACGUACCUGACGGGGCCGCUGGGGCAGUCGACUGCCGCCGCCGCCGCCGCCGUGAACGCGUGGUCGGGCGCCGCGUCCAUGCUGCCGCUGCUCGGCGCCUUCGUCGCCGACUCCUUCCUCGGCCGCUACCGGACCAUCGUCCUCGCCGCCCUCCUCUACACGGCGGUCCGUAACAAUUCUUUCUAAAAUUAAAAUCUAAUUCGAUAGAUAAAUAAAAUAUGGUAUAUAAUAUUUAUUAUUAUUAUAAAAAAAAUUAAUAUUUUAAAAUUUAUAAUUUAUAAUAAAAUAUAUUGAAAUUUUGUGUAUGGAGAGUUCCCCAAUCAUGUGGCCGUUGAGUUCAAUUUUUUUUUUAUUUACAUUAUUUCUUUAGUUUUUGACUUUUUUUUACAAUUAAGAAAUUUUAGUUAAAUAUUUUAAAGAUUUUGUCAUAUUUAUCUAUAAUUUUAUUAGAUUUAACAGUAAUAUGUACUUUUUUUUGUGGUAGUAAAUGCACUUUUUAGCAAAUGUAUUUACAAUAUUUAGCAACUAAUAGCUAAUUAAAUUUACUCAAGGACUAUAAUAAGUUAAAUAAAAAAUAUCAAAAGCUUAAAAAAAAAAUUGCCCGUAGUUGAGGUGAUCUCCUCAUAUUUUUAUACAUAAUCUUUGUCACAAAUAUGGACUUUUUGCUUUUUUUUUUUUAAUUUUCUAAAAAGUGUUUGUGAAGUACAAGUUAUCCCUACAAACCCAGUAAUGCUAAUUAAGAAAAGAGUACGGAUGAUAAUUAGUCAUUAUUUUAAUAUUAUUUUUUGUUGGAGUAUUGAUUGUUGAAAACAGUGUUAGAAAAGUCAAAUUUAAUCUUUAAAUUAUUUAGAUUUAUAAUUAAUACGAAAGAUUAGAAAAGUGGACAUGGUUUAUGAAAACACGAUAGAAAUGCUUUUCGUAGAGUAGUUUCGAACUUUUUGAAUGAUACAUAAACUGAGCUUUUUGCUGAUCGCUAUUUUUUACGAUACAAUCAGAAUCCAUCGCUAUCGAAAUUUACGUGCAUGUUGAAAUCUAAUAAACUUCGAACACCGUAAGCUUUUGAUCGUUUAAAAUUAGAGAGAAUUGAAGAGCUUUUAGAAAAAAAAUUCCACGGUAGAUAUUUGAUUAAAUCUUUAAUGUUCAUUUUCAACCGUUAAAAUUGAAAAUUGUCUGUUAUAUUUGUUUCCAAUGAAAUUGUGAGAGGUUGCAUCGUCACAUCCCCUCGCGACAAGAAAGUUUAGAAUGCGACAGUUAUAUUAAUAGCGUCGCAUCCUAACUAAUCAAAUAAUUUCUUUUGAAUUUAAAAAAUAUUUUUAUUGUACUUUUUUUCAAAUGAAGAGAUGUAAUUGACUUAUUAUUGAUGAUGUGGUGCAAGUGUGACACAGUAGAUUUCCUUCCUCGCGACACUGGUGGGAGAAAAAUCCACGUGGCAGAGAAAUUUUACGCUGUGGGACCCACUAUAAUUAUAAUAAUUUAAUAAAUAUAGUUUUUAAAAUUAUUAAAAUAUUAUUUAAAAAACCAACAUUGGUAAUUACUGAGAUGUCAAUUUCCAGAGGAUAAUUCAGUCGCUAAAUCCAUAAAUAAAAAAGUGGACUCAUGAUUAGCAUUUCGAAAGAUAUUGUUAAAAAAAAAAAUCACAAAACAAUUAAAGCGCUCCUUAAUACGUACGUAUAUCAACACAUGGUAUUAAAGUGAGAAAGUGCGAAACCAUAGGAUACUAACUUGAUACACUUUAAACCACAGGGUACUAAAGUGAGAAAGUGCGAAACUACAGGAAAGUUUUUGAAGUUUUUUCUUAUAAAAAUAAUAUUUCAAGGAAUCCGGAGUAUUACUUUUGUUUUUCUCCGAAUAUUUAUGACAAGUUCGGUCAAAAAUAUUGAAGAUUGUUAAAAGGCUAAAAUAUAGAAAAUAUAUACUCUUGUAAAUAUUGAUUUUUUAACUCUUUUUUUUUUGACUUUUAAAAAUCUAUAUUCUAUCACCUGAAAAUUUCCCCACCUCCCGUCCCGUCCGUCACUUUCCAUCCAUUUCUUAUAAUUUAUACUGAAAAUAUCUUUAAAAAUAAUAUAAAUAUAUUAAAAAAUUAUUAUUUUUUCUUUAUAGAGCAAAUAAGGGCAAUUUGAUUAUUUCCCCUCUCUUUUAACAGUGUAAUCCCCUAAUAAUAUUUAGAAAAUUUUAAAGUGGCAAAAUAUAAAUUUUUUAAAAGUCAGAAAAAAAAAAAAGUGAAAAAAAAAAUUUUAGCAAGUUUUCUGGAUUUCAGCAUUAUUAGAAAUACAACAAUUCAAGAGAAAAGUGGAAUCUUCUAAUAAGAUAAUUCAAUUCCAAAAUUGGAUGUUUUUUUUUAGAGAUAGGUAGUAUGCUAUCUGCUUCGUUUAUUUAAUUUAAAAAUAAAUUUAGCUGAAAAUAUGAAUCAACUGGGAUUUGAACUUGGAUUUAAGCCCUUUGCCAAUUCCAAAGCUGGAUGUGGUUGUAAAUAAAACCAAGGAUGAGACAACCUAGAGAGAUUGGACAUCUCUAUCAAAUUUGUCCAUACAAUGUGCAAAUUAAAACCUGCUUUUAUUUUCCUCCUUAAUUUGGUCCCAAAAAACUAGGAAUUUAAACCUUGUCAUGUCAAGUUAGGUUUAGUACAAUGGCAUGGGUGGUAGAUGAUGGAAGGGGAGAUAUUUAUGCCUAUGAAUUUAGACCUUUCAACCUUUAUCAAUUUUGGAUUAUUAAUUCUUUUUUUUUUAUUUCCUACACAAUUGUUUGGUUGUAAUCCACAGUUUAUGUAUUCAAGUCCAAAAAAGGGGCAUUUUUUUUCCCUUUAUAAUCAAUGAGUUAGUUUCAAAAUAAGUAUUGGUGCCCUUUUUCUUGUUUUUAAUUUUUCCUACUAAGUUGGCUUUAAUCACUUUCAAAUUUUCCAAAAACUUUGAUUGUUAAUCAUUUCUCUUGAUUUCGAACGGUUCUCACCUAUUUGAAAAGAAGAUGAUGAUGUUAAUAGGUUCAAAAUUACUAAUAACAUAUGCGUACAUUGAAUCUGAUUGUUAUUUGCCAAGUAAAAGCGAUCNGUAGAAAAGUUUCGAACUUUACUUUUCACGGUAGAUAUUUAAUUAGAGAGAAUUGAAGAGUUUUUAGAAAAAAAGAUUUCACGGUAGAUAUUUAAUUAAAUCUUUAAUGUUCAUUUUCAACCGUUAAAAUUGAAAAUUGUCCGUUAAAUUUCUGUCCAAUGAAAUUGUGCGAGGUUGCAUCAUCACAUCCACGGGCGACAAAAAAUUUUAGCGUGGUGUCCCUAACAAAUCAAAUAUUUUUUUUAAAAUUUAAAAAAUAUUUUUAUUGUACUGUUUUUAAAUAAAGAGAUAUAAUUGACUUGUUAUUGAUGAUAUGCUGCAAUUGUGACACAAUAGAUUUUCUCCCUCGUGACACACGUCGGAGAAAAAUCCACGUGGCUGUGACGUUAUACACUGUGGGGGACCCACUAUAAUUAUAAUUUAAUAAAUGUAGUUUUUAAAAUUAUUAAAAUAUUAUUUAAAAAACCAACAUUGGUAAUUACUGAGAUGUCAAUUUCCAGAAGAUAAUUCAGUCACUAAAUCCACAAAUACAAAAAUGGACUCAUGAUUAAUAUUUCGAAAGAUAUUGUUCAACAAAAUAAAAAAAGGCUUGUCUUGGCACAGAACAAUGAAAGCGCUCCUUAAUACAAAUAUCAGCACAUUAAUAAUAUAUAAAAAUAAUAUGUUUUAAAAAAUAAAGUAUUAUUCUUCUUUGUUUCUAAAUACGUAUAUCAGUACAUUAAUAAUUUAUAAAAAUAAUAUUUCAAGGAACAAGGAAUCUAGAGUAUUACUCCUGUUUUUCUCCGAAUAUUUAUGAUGAGUUCGGUCAAGAAUAUUGAAGAUUAUUAGAAGGCUAAACUACAGAAAAUACUCUUGUAAAUAUUGAUCUUUUAAUUUUUCCUUUUUUACUUUAUCUAUAUUUUACCACCUGAAAAUUUCAAAGUUGAUGUAGAAAACACUCUUGUAAAUACCGUUAAUUUUUCCUUUUUGACUUUAUCUAUAUUUUACCACCUGAAAAUAUCAAAUUGAUGCAGAAAAUACUCUUGUAAAUAUCGAUCUUUUAAUUUUUCCUUUUCGACUUUAUCGAUAUUUUACGCGCCCCCCCCCCCCUCAGGGUUUCAUCACUUUCCAUCCAUUUCUUAUAAUUUAUACUGAAAAUACUCUUAAAAAUUAACAUAAAUAUAUUAAAAUAUUAUUAUUUUUUCUUUAUAGAGCAAGUAAGGAUAAUUUGAUCAUUUCGCCCUCUCUUUUAACACCAUAACCCCCUAAUAAUAUUUAGAAAAUUUUUAGAAGGCAAAAUAUAAAAUUUUUAAAAGUCAAGAACAAAAAGUAAAAAAAUAUAUAUUUAUAGCAGGUUUUCUGGAUUUCAGCAUUAUUAGAAAUACAACAAUUUAAGAGGAAAUUGGUAUCUUCUAAGAAUAAUUCAAUUCCAAAGUUGGAUGUUGGUAUCUCAUUGUAUGUGGUUGUAAAUAGAACCAAGGAUGAGACAACUUAGGGGCCGUUUGGUUGGAUGUAGUUGCAAAAACAGUGUAGUUGGAAAUAUAUACAGUUGCAAAUGCUGCAGUUAUAACUACACCUAGUCUGUUUGGUUUUACGCAGUUGCAACUGCUGCAGUUACAUUUCUUCUGUUUGGUAAUAUGAAGCUGAUAGUUGUAUUUAUGAAUUUUGUCACCUCUUCAGAUAGAGUGGUAAGGUUACCUACACUAAACAUAAAAUAAUUAUAUAAAUUUAUUAAUUAUUUAAAUUUACUAUUUAUAAAUAAAUAAGUAGAUAUAUAUAAUAUUUUUAUAUUUUUCAAUAAUUCUUCAACUUAUUAAUCGACACAUUUAAAAUUUUUAAUUUAUUUAAUUUUAAUAUGUAAAUCAAACUUUAAAAAUUUAAACGAUUCUCUCAUUUUUUUUAUCAAAUUUAAUAAUUAUAAUUAAUUAAAACUUAUUAAAUUAACAUACACGAUCACAUUCUAUAAAAAUUUAGAAAAAAAAACUAUAUUUAUAUUUUAAAUAAAAUAAAUUUAAAAAAAUUAAUUUUUUGCACAAAGCUUGUAUUGUCUAAAAAAUUUUAUUAGUAUGAGUUUAUUUAUAAGUAUUUUUAUUUACCUAUAUACAUAUAUUAUUUAUUUAUUUAGCUAUUUAUUUAUUUAUUAUUAUUAUUAAUUUGUGGGUGAUCCUAUCCCUCACCAACUGCUGCAGUUGGAACUACGACCAAUUUGGAUGUAGUUCCAACUGCAGCAUUUGGGCCUUCUUGUGCAGUUGGGACUGCAGCAGUUGAACUCAACUAUACUAAACCAAACAAAGGAAUUGUGGCUGCACGCAUUUGCAACUGCACUGCAGUUGUAAAUGCGUACAACCAAACAGCCCCUUAGAGAGAUUGGACAUCUCUAUCAAAUUUGUCCAUAAAAUGUGCAAAUUGAAACCUGCUUUUAUUUUGCUCCUUUUUGGUCCCAAAAAAGUAGGAAUUUAAACCUUGUCAUGUCAAGUUAGGUUUAGUAUAAUGGGCAUGGGUGGUAGAUGAUGGAAGGGGAGAUAUUUAUGCCUAUGAAUUUAGACCUUUCACCCUUCAUCAAUUUUGGAUUAUUAAUUUUUUUUUUUAAUUUCCUACACAAUUGUUUGGUUGUAAUCCACAGUUUAUGUAUUCAAGUCCAAAAAAGGGGCAUUUUUUUUCCCUAUAUAAUCAAUGAGUUAGUUUCAAAAUAAGUAUUGGUGCCCUUUUUCUUGUUUUUAGUUUUUCCUACUAAGUUGACUUUAAUCACUUUCAAAUUUUCCAAAAACUUUGAUUGUUAAUCAUUUCUCUUGAUUUCGAACGGUUCUCACCUAUUUGAAAAGAAGAUGAUGAUGUUAACAGGUCCAAAAUUACUAAUGACGUAAACGUACAUUGAAUUUGAUUGUUAUUCACCGACUAAAAGCGAUCAGAUUUAUAAUAUACGAGUUUCGCAUAGUAAAUGUGAAUCUGUUAACAGCCAAAUAUGAUUUGUCUUAAUCCUCACUUAUAUAACUUCAAUUUUUAAAAAAAAUAUAUAUUUCCGAGGAAAAUCCAUUUAACAACAUGUAUAGUUCUAAUGGCACAAUUAAUAUUUCUUUUUGUGCACUCUAAAUUUGAUCAUUUUCGCAGGGCUACGGCAUGUUAGCUCUCUCAUCCACACUCCCAUUUCUCCGCCCUCCGAAAUGCAUGGACUCCGCGAAUUCUUCAACAUGCCAACCUUCGCCUUUUCAAGUGGGCUUCUUCUACGUAUCUCUCUAUCUCGUAGCCUUUGCUCAAGGCGGCGACAAGUCUUGCGGACUAGCAUUCGGAGCCGACCAAUUCGACCAGAAUGAGCCAAAGGAGUGCGCCUCGCGAGGCUCCUUCUUUAACUGGUGGUAUUUUGUCACGUCCACGGGCAUGACUGUUGCAUUUGUCAUACUAAGUUAUGUUCAGGAUAACGUCGGUUGGGGCCUCGGCUUUGGAAUACCUACUAUUAUUAUGUCCUUCGCUCUUGUUGUCUUCUUGCUCGGGACGAAGACGUAUAGAAUUUACGUAGUGGAACAAGAGAGCCCCUUUGCCCGAAUAGGCAAGGCGUUCGUAUCGUUGGCGAGGAGUUGGAAAG